UAGGUGUAGCGAGUGAUUGCUUGAAAAACUUUUAAGAGGAAAGUCCGGACUACAAUGAGAUGGGAUUCCAUUUAACAAAUGGCUAUCGUAAGAUAAGGGAAAGUGCAACAGAAAGCAAACCGCCAAACUUUUUGGUAAGGGUGAAAGGGCGAGGUAAGAGCUCGCCUUGAUUUUAAGUAAUUCUAAUCAAUGAAAACCCAAUCCGUAGCAAGAAGGGCAGGUUAGAAAUCUCAUAUUUUUAGCCCUUCGCUAGAAAAUUAUUGUGAAAUAAUUUUUAGAUAAAUAAUCACUUAAACAGAAUCCGGCUUAUAGCUACACCUUUGAU
This 325-nucleotide RNase P RNA is filed under the name Helicobacteraceae bacterium. RNAcentral's name for it is "RNase P RNA component class A". It matches the Rfam family "Bacterial RNase P class A". From Rfam's summary of the family: Ribonuclease P (RNase P) is a ubiquitous endoribonuclease, found in archaea, bacteria and eukarya as well as chloroplasts and mitochondria. Its best characterised activity is the generation of mature 5'-ends of tRNAs by cleaving the 5'-leader elements of precursor-tRNAs. Lineage: Bacteria; Pseudomonadati; Campylobacterota; Epsilonproteobacteria; Campylobacterales; Helicobacteraceae. The record is from RNAcentral.